AGGACACUAGGGGAGUAAUGAGUAGGUGACUGUCAGUUACAUCGGAGUUCCGUGUGAUCUACGAACGCUACAACGUACAAUUAUCAUGUCACGCUCCAUGCUGUUGCUAAUCUUGUUGGGUAUAUUAUUGCUCAAUUGUCAAGAGACACUUGGUAGAAGAGGACGAGGAAGGAGCAGGAGCAAGUCCCGUGUGCAAAUCGGAUUGCCCAUUACCGGAAAGUACCGCGAUCCGGAGAGCGAUCAGUAUUACAACAAUAAUAACGGAGCCAAAAUACUUUUAGCGUCGCACUUCGAUCUAGAGUACGUCCUGGGACACAAAAUAGCUUUCCUCUGCGUCGCUCGUGGCAAUCCACGCCCGCAUGUUACGUGGUUCAAGGAUGGCGCCGAGAUUUAUACGCAUCACUAUCUACAUAUACAUGAGUGGCAAGUCGGUCCUGACAAAGUGAAAUCGAAACUCGAAAUCGAUCCCGCUACUCAAAUGGACGCGGGAGUCUACGAAUGCACAGCGGAUAAUAUGUACAGCAUCGAUCGAAGGUCUUUCAAGACUGACUUCUCCAUCGCUUUCGAUUAGUGCGAGCGUACGGGAGACCGCAAACAAACACGUACAAUUAGAUAAGAAAACAUAUAAAGCCCAGAACGACUCGCAGGAGACUAAAAUUGUCCUAAUCCGGAAUGCGAGAAAUUGUUCUCAAUCUUAUCGAAGCGCAGCGUUGCAAUCGGCGUCUAUCUAGAAUAAUAAUAAUCGACGCUUCUUCAGGCGUACAUAUUGUAGUUCAAGCGAAAAAUAUAGAAGAUUGA
RNA transcript from Mycetomoellerius zeteki, 798 nucleotides. It is a transcript of the gene named immunoglobulin domain-containing protein oig-4, with no coding region annotated. Lineage: Eukaryota; Metazoa; Arthropoda; Insecta; Hymenoptera; Formicidae. The record is from RefSeq and is a predicted model, not a curated record. The transcript is spliced from 5 exons.